RNAcentral lists this ribosomal RNA (615 nucleotides) under Debaryomyces hansenii. Its description in RNAcentral is "eukaryotic LSU rRNA". It matches the Rfam family "Eukaryotic large subunit ribosomal RNA", at positions 37 to 667 of the family's 3401-position model. The record is from RNAcentral. Lineage: Eukaryota; Fungi; Ascomycota; Pichiomycetes; Serinales; Debaryomycetaceae.
UGCAUAUCAAUAAGCGGAGGAAAAGAAACCAACAGGGAUUGCCUUAGUAACGGCGAGUGAAGCGGCAAAAGCUCAAAUUUGAAAUCUGGCACCUUCGGUGUCCGAGUUGUAAUUUGAAGAAGGUAACUUUGGAGUUGGCUCUUGUCUAUGUUCCUUGGAACAGGACGUCACAGAGGGUGAGAAUCCCGUGCGAUGAGAUGCCCAAUUCUAUGUAAAGUGCUUUCGAAGAGUCGAGUUGUUUGGGAAUGCAGCUCUAAGUGGGUGGUAAAUUCCAUCUAAAGCUAAAUAUUGGCGAGAGACCGAUAGCGAACAAGUACAGUGAUGGAAAGAUGAAAAGAACUUUGAAAAGAGAGUGAAAAAGUACGUGAAAUUGUUGAAAGGGAAGGGCUUGAGAUCAGACUUGGUAUUUUGCGAUCCUUUCCUUCUUGGUUGGGUUCCUCGCAGCUUACUGGGCCAGCAUCGGUUUGGAUGGUAGGAUAAUGACUAAGGAAUGUGGCUCUACUUCGGUGGAGUGUUAUAGCCUUGGUUGAUACUGCCUGUCUAGACCGAGGACUGCGUCUUUUGACUAGGAUGUUGGCAUAAUGAUCUUAAGCCACCCGUCUUGAAACACGGACC